ACUGUUCAUCUGUCGGAUAGAUCAAGCUGUGCAAUCAAAGACAUCGAGAUGGUUAGCUGAAAGAUACACGAUGGUACAUUGAGAAGAUUGGAUGAGGUCCGAUACAUAUCUAAUUUCAGACAGAAUCUUAUCUCACUAAGCAAACUGAAUUCAAAUGGCUAUAGGUGGAUAGCUGGUGUUGGAAUCAUGAAGGUUAUGCGUAGUGAUAGGAUUAUUUUGGAGGGA
Molecule: long non-coding RNA, 225 nt
Filed under: Elaeis guineensis (African oil palm)
Lineage: Eukaryota; Viridiplantae; Streptophyta; Magnoliopsida; Arecales; Arecaceae
Description: long non-coding RNA (EGUI_LNC032528)
Source: RNAcentral